RNAcentral lists this ribosomal RNA (465 nucleotides) under uncultured bacterium. RNAcentral's name for it is "partial 16S ribosomal RNA". It matches the Rfam family "Bacterial small subunit ribosomal RNA", at positions 28 to 507 of the family's 1533-position model. The record is from RNAcentral.
GACGAACGCUGGCGGCGUGCUUAACACAUGCAAGUCGAACGGAAAGGCCCUGCUUGCAGGGUACUCGAGUGGCGAACGGGUGAGUAACACGUGGGUGAUCUGCCCUGCACUUCGGGAUAAGCCUGGGAAACUGGGUCUAAUACCGGAUAGGAGCCAUUUUUAGUGUGAUGGUUGGAAAGUUUUUUCGGUGUAGGAUGAGCUCGCGGCCUAUCAGCUUGUUGGUGGGGUAAUGGCCUACCAAGGCGGCGACGGGUAGCCGGCCUGAGAGGGUGGACGGCCACAUUGGGACUGAGAGACGGCCCAGACGCCGACGGGAGGCAGCAGGGGGGAAUAUUGCACAAUGGGCGCAAGCCGGAUGCAGCGACGCCGCGUGGGGGAUGACGGCCUUCGGGUUGUAAACUCCUUUCGCUAGGGACGAAGCUUUUUGUGACGGUACCUAGAGAAGAAGCACCGGCUAACUACGUG